This 575-nucleotide non-coding RNA is filed under the name Pan troglodytes (chimpanzee). The record is from RNAcentral. Lineage: Eukaryota; Metazoa; Chordata; Mammalia; Primates; Hominidae.
AGAACUGGACACCUCGGGGGUUUCCUGCUUUAUGGCGAAGGGCCAGGGCCCCACACACCUCCCGCCUGACAGCCAGCCAAGCUCUUCAGUCCCCCGCCCUCCACCUGCCAGGGAGGCUCCGGGCGUUAUACCUGCCACCACGGGGUAGGUCUGACACAUAUACUCAUAGAAAUGAGUUAUUUAAAGAAGACGGUCCAGAUUCCACAGUCCAAAAAAAAAAAGAGGUUUGCCCUGCUUCCGAAGGAGUCAGGAUAUGAAUGCAGAGGUCUUCCUGUUGGCUCACAUAUCAGACCUUCAACGUCAACAUUAAAUGCGAGUGAUGCUUCCCCCUCUGUGAAUGUGGCUUUGGGUAUGGCUAAUCCACACCCUGCACUCUGGCCUUCAGAAGCCCAGGGAGAGAAGCCUCCCAGAAGCAACCUUCCAGAACCUUCUCCAUCCUCCCACCGACCUCCCCAGCCCCUGUCCUCUCUUUGAAUCUCGUUGUCAAGUUCUUUCCGCAGACGCCUGGCUCCUUGAGGGGAGGUGCAGCUUUCAUCUGACCAUGCAGGCGUGCUUUGCAGUGGGUAGAGCAGUGC